Molecule: long non-coding RNA, 268 nt
Filed under: Brassica rapa (field mustard)
Lineage: Eukaryota; Viridiplantae; Streptophyta; Magnoliopsida; Brassicales; Brassicaceae
Description: long non-coding RNA (BRAP_LNC004477)
Source: RNAcentral
CGGGAACAUCCAAGAUGGCUCUCUUUUCUGUUUGUUUAGAGGAUCUAAGGGGUUUCAUGUUUCUUUGGGUUUGUACUGGCGGGAUUUUUUGGUUGUAAAAAUUAUUUUUGAUCAAUGAAAUAUCCAGAAGGCAAAAAAAGGAAUAUGAGUAUAACUCAAAACGUACACGAAAGUCAAUAAAUCUCUUUUUUUUUUUUUUUUCUUCCAUUUCCUCUAUACUAAGCUAGUUCUUACCCCGUCACAACUAUUAACUGCCAUUCAUGACACC